RNAcentral lists this ribosomal RNA (253 nucleotides) under uncultured bacterium. RNAcentral describes it as "partial 16S ribosomal RNA". It matches the Rfam family "Bacterial small subunit ribosomal RNA", at positions 524 to 776 of the family's 1533-position model. The record is from RNAcentral.
UAUGGAGGGUGCGAGCGUUGUCCGGAAUCAUUGGGCGUAAAGGGCGCGUAGGUGGCGGGACAAGCGUGCGGUGAAAGCUCGGGGCUCAACCCCGAGUCGGCCGUGCGAACUGUUUUGCUGGAGCACUGUAGUGGCAGGCGGAAUUCCGGGUGUAGCGGUGGAAUGCGUAGAGAUCCGGAAGAACACCGGUGGCGAAGGCGGCCUGGUGGGCAGUUGCUGACACUGAGGCGCGACAGCGUGGGGAGCAAACAGG